RNAcentral lists this ribosomal RNA (253 nucleotides) under uncultured bacterium. RNAcentral describes it as "partial 16S ribosomal RNA". It matches the Rfam family "Bacterial small subunit ribosomal RNA", at positions 524 to 776 of the family's 1533-position model. The record is from RNAcentral.
UACAGAGGGGGCAAGCGUUGUUCGGAAUUACUGGGCGUAAAGGGCGCGUAGGCGGCCUGCUAAGUCGAACGUGAAAUCCCUGGGCUCAACCCAGGAACUGCGUCCGAUACUGGUUGGCUUGAAUCCGGGAGAGGGACGUGGAAUUCCAGGUGUAGCGGUGAAAUGCGUAGAUAUCUGGAGGAACACCGGUGGCGAAGGCGGCAUCCUGGACCAACACUGACACUGAGGAGCGAAAGCCAGGGGAGCAAACGGG